AUUGAACGCUGGCGGCAUGCCUUACACAUGCAAGUCGAACGGCAGCACGGGAGCAAUCCUGGUGGCGAGUGGCGAACGGGUGAGUAAUAUAUCGGAACGUGCCCAGUGAUGGGGGAUAGCCCGGCGAAAGCCGGAUUAAUACCGCAUACGACCUACGGGUGAAAGCAGGGGAUCGCAAGACCUUGCGUCAUUGGAGCGGCCGAUAUCAGAUUAGCUUGNGGUGGGGUAAAGCCUACCAAGGCGACGAUCUGUAGCUGGUCUGAGAGGACGACCAGCCACACUGGGACUGAGACACGGCCCAGACUCCUACGGAGGCAGCAGUGGGGAAUUUUGGACAAUGGGCGCAAGCCUGAUCCAGCCAUGCCGCGUGC
Molecule: ribosomal RNA, 371 nt
Filed under: uncultured bacterium
Lineage: Bacteria
Description: bacterial SSU rRNA
Rfam family: Bacterial small subunit ribosomal RNA
Source: RNAcentral